This 263-nucleotide long non-coding RNA is filed under the name Athene cunicularia (burrowing owl). RNAcentral describes it as "lncRNA (ENSACUG00000002102.1)". Lineage: Eukaryota; Metazoa; Chordata; Aves; Strigiformes; Strigidae. The record is from RNAcentral.
CUGGUCCAGCAGGUGCCCCAGGUCCAAUGGGCUCCCGUGGUGGUCCUGGUGAACGAGGAGAACAAGGUCUUCCUGGACCUGCUGGCUUCCCUGGAGCUCCAGGCCAAAAUGGGGAACCUGGUGGGAAAGGAGAAAGAGGUCCACCUGGUCUAAGAGGAGAGGCUGGACCCCCUGGAGUUGCAGGUCCACAAGGUGGUCCUGGUGCACCAGUAAGUUUUUUGCCAUUCCUUAUGCUCCAAAGAGAGGUUUCUUCAGUUCUCCCU